CUUUAAGUUUCAGACUUGCGUCCGUACUUCCCAGGCGGCAAACUUAACGGCUUCCCUGCGGCACUGCAUUGGCCAUAAGCCAAUGCAUCACCGAGUUUGCAUCGUUUACAGCUGGGACUACCCGGGUAUCUAAUCCGGUUUGCUCCCCCAGCUUUCAUCCCUCACCGUCGAACGUGUUCUGGCAGACCGCCUUCGCCACUGGUGGUCCUCGGAGGAUCAGAGGAUUUUACCCCUACCCCCCGAAUACCGUCUGCCUCUCCCACUCCCUAGCUCUGUAGUAUCUCCAGCGGCCCAUCUGUUAAGCAGGUGGAUUUAACCGGAGACUUGCAUAGCCGGCUACGGAUGCUUUAGGCCCAAUAAACGUCCUGACCACUCGAGGUGCUGGUAUUACCGCGGCGGCUGACACCAGACUUGCCCACCCCUUAUUCUCCUGUGCUUUUAGGACA
RNAcentral lists this ribosomal RNA (446 nucleotides) under uncultured archaeon. RNAcentral describes it as "partial 16S ribosomal RNA". The record is from RNAcentral.